RNAcentral lists this ribosomal RNA (2482 nucleotides) under Triticum aestivum (bread wheat). RNAcentral describes it as "partial small subunit ribosomal RNA". Lineage: Eukaryota; Viridiplantae; Streptophyta; Magnoliopsida; Poales; Poaceae. The record is from RNAcentral.
CGCUGGAACAGGAACCUGGCUCUAGGCGUGAUCGGGUAGAGGGACGGCGAGCAGCUGCCGCCGCCCCAGGUCUAGGCCACGAGGAGGGGGAGGGUUAGGUAGAAGGUCCGUCCGAGUCGGAGGUCCGCGGGGAGCUGCGGCGUGACGUGGAGUAGCUGGUCCUGGGACCAGCGGCGGCGGUGCCAGAGGAGGAGGGACCACCGGCGCCUGCGGUUGAGCACGUAGACGGGUCCUUAGGUACUCCGUGGUGGACCGGCAGAGACACCGCCUAAUGCUGUCUAAACGCUGGUUCGAGUUCUGGGGGCCGUGUCUGAACAAGCGGUUCUGCGUUGGGCUACCGGCGCGCGCGGUUCACAAGAAGGAGCUGGCCCUGCCACACCUUAAGGGAAGAACCUACUGAAAAUACAAGCAACCUAAGGAUAAAAAAGUUUUAAUUAAAGUCUCAAGCCUGACGAACGGAAAAUGAAGAACAGUAGAUCACAAUCUCUACGUCAUACGUACACUUUCAGAUAAUGUAGAGACCUUAAAAGAAGUAAUCAAUGACUUCGUGCGAAUCGUCAAUCGUGCCACUCUCGUAUUCCUCUUCUUAGUAAUGCCAAAAGAGUUUAUCGUCAAUCGUGCCACUCUCGUAUUCCUCUUCUUAGUAAUGCUAAAAGAGUUUAUCGGAGACGUUAAAUAGUGUAUGAGUUCAUGGUACAUAUAGAAGCAGUACGAUCGCCUUUGGACAUCUUGUCCCCCUUUCACAUAGUAUGAGUCCCACCAGUUCCUAUCCAACUUGUACCUGUUGACAAUGUCUACACGGACUAACUAUUAAAAUAAAAAGACUUUUAAACCAUGCUAAAGGUAGUAAUAUGAAAAGUCCCUUAGUUUAAAAGUUACCUCCUUCUACAGGAGCCGAAAGAACCAACGAUGACGUACAGACGUAGAGGUUAUCUAACGUCAAUACAGUAGUUACUUAUUAAAUCACUCAAAUCCUUAGUUUAAACCCCUGAGAUCAAAAGAGAAAUUAGUCAUGAAAGAACCGACGGCCCACGUUAAAAUGUAAAGUCCUUAGUUUAAAAGUUACGAACGAAGUCGUACAUCCACAGUGAAAGGUUGGAAAGACUAACGUCCUUCGGUUUUCGGAUUGUACCUCAAUAGGUGAAUUGAGUUAGUCAACCACUUGGUUUGUGAGUUUUAUUUAAUCAGAAAAAGGGAAGGGUUCAAUGAACUUUUAUGAUAACAGAUCGAGCAAACCGUGAAGAGAGAUGCAACGUAAACGUCAUAUACUAUGUACGUCAUCGGAGUACGGCACGUUGGAAAGUACAAAAGAAGUGUACGUUUACAUCGUAAACAUUCCCUCACCACAAGGUACUACAUUCCCGCACGAGACUAUUUUUGUACUGUACUGUUAUCUCCAAACACGAAGAACAACGAAGCUUCGAUGGUGAAGUAGCAGAACGAUAAUGACGGUAGCUUAACAACAAUAACUUUAAACUAGUUAACCGACUGUUGAUCUGUAAAACUAUUACGAACGGGUUGAUACAAUUUCAUCACAAACAGCUUAUAAUGGAAUCCCAUAGUUAAAUCUUUUUACCUCCUUAACUUUUCAAUAUUGUCCUUACAUGUUUUUGUAAUUUCUGUUCUUGAAAUAUACUUCGAAGUCAAGGACAGACAUAAGAGGAAAAGACUCUAAAUUAUACUUCGAAAUCAAGGAUGUGAUUAAUGUCAAGUACAGAAGAUGAUGUCAAUAACAGGUAUACGUACAACGAGAGUACAUCCAACCAGGUAACUGUUUUGGUAAACGAGAAACUACAAGGUUCAAACCACAGAUCUUUUUCCUCUAGGUCCGAACCUCAACAUUAUCCAGGAUUACUUGGAUGCAUCCACACGAAGGAAAGAUACAUCACUUUUUAUUACGGCACGGCGGUGGAGUAGAUACUAUUGAUAGAUAAGUCUAAAUAGAUUAAUACGUUCUUUGGUUGAUAAAUAUAGAAGGUUAUGUAGUUCGACUAUCAGAGUCCUUAGACUUUAGUCGAAUUUAGUAUUGUGAGUACAUAAGCAGUUUCUCGAAACAAUACCGUAUAUAUGAUUUAGUACUUCUUGUAAACCUACGUUUCGUGGGUACAAGGACUCUCUUUGGGUACGACAUGUAAAGGCAAGAGAGUAAAAAUGAAACGCUUCAAUAGAGUUCGUAUACGAAAAUCAAAACACGUCCAUCUAAACUGUUGACCUACGGGUCCGAAUCUAUCCUUGACUCUACUGUAUCGUCGCCUUCUUGUGCUACUAAAAGGUCAAGUAAAGUAAUCGUGAAACUAAAUAACUCCCGCCGCUUCACUUCCUUCGAGACACACGCUUUUAUUUGUGUGGAAACACACAUUUUUCACAUGACUACCUAAAAGACACAUUGACCAUAAAGACAAGUGCGAAUUCUUCACGAAGUAUUACCGGCUUAACAUGUCAAGUUCAACUCACACAAUUAGUAAUAGAUAUUAUUUAGUCC